RNAcentral lists this small RNA (75 nucleotides) under Xanthomonas euroxanthea. Its description in RNAcentral is "sRNA sX9". It matches the Rfam family "Xanthomonas sRNA sX9". Lineage: Bacteria; Pseudomonadati; Pseudomonadota; Gammaproteobacteria; Lysobacterales; Lysobacteraceae. The record is from RNAcentral.
AUGUACACGCAUACAUAGCGGUUCCUGCGCGCCGUCUGCAGCCACCUAACGACUGCUUGCGACGUUUUGCUAGCC